UACGGAGGGUGCAAGCGUUAAUCGGAAUUACUGGGCGUAAAGCGCACGCAGGCGGUCUGUCAAGUCGGAUGUGAAAUCCCCGGGCUCAACCUGGGAACUGCAUUCGAAACUGGCAGGCUGGAGUCUUGUAGAGGGGGGUAGAAUUCCAGGUGUAGCGGUGAAAUGCGUAGAGAUCUGGAGGAAUACCGGUGGCGAAGGCGGCCCCCUGGACAAAGACUGACGCUCAGGUGCGAAAGCGUGGGGAGCAAACAGGAUUAGAUACCCUGGUAGUCCACGCCGUAAACGAUGUCGAUUUGGAGGUUGUGCCCUUGAGGCGUGGCUUCCGGAGCUAACGCGUUAAAUCGACCGCCUGGGGAGUACGGCCGCAAGGUUAAAACUCAAAUGAAUUGACGGGGGCCCGCACAAGCGGUGGAGCAUGUGGUUUAAUUCGAUGCAACGCGAAGAACCUUACCUGGUCUUGACAUCCACAGAACUUUCCAGAGAUGGAUUGGUGCCUUCGGGAACUGUGAGACAGGUGCUGCAUGGCUGUCGUCAGCUCGUGUUGUGAAAUGUUGGGUUAAGUCCCG
Molecule: ribosomal RNA, 566 nt
Filed under: Enterobacter cloacae
Lineage: Bacteria; Pseudomonadati; Pseudomonadota; Gammaproteobacteria; Enterobacterales; Enterobacteriaceae
Description: bacterial SSU rRNA
Rfam family: Bacterial small subunit ribosomal RNA
Source: RNAcentral